GGAUGAACGCUAGCUACAGGCUUAACACAUGCAAGUCGAGGGGCAGCAUGAUUGAAGCUUGCUUCAAUUGAUGGCGACCGGCGCACGGGUGAGUAACACGUAUCCAACCUGCCGAUAACUCGGGGAUAGCCUUUCGAAAGAAAGAUUAAUACCCGAUAGUAUAGUAUUUCCGCAUGGUUUCACUAUUAAAGAAUUUCGGUUAUCGAUGGGGAUGCGUUCCAUUAGAUAGUUGGCGGGGUAACGGCCCACCAAGUCAACGAUGGAUAGGGGUUCUGAGAGGAAGGUCCCCCACAUUGGAACUGAGACACGGUCCAAACUCCUACGGGAGGCAGCAGUGAGGAAUAUUGGUCAAUGGACGAGAGUCUGAACCAGCCAAGUAGCGUGAAGGAUGACUGCCCUAUGGGUUGUAAACUUCUUUUAUACGGGAAUAAAGUGGAGUAUGCAUACUCCUUUGUAUGUACCGUAUGAAUAAGGAUCGGCUAACUCCGUGCCGGCAGCCGCGGUAAUACGGAGGAUCCGAGCGUUAUCCGGAUUUAUUGGGUUUAAAGGGAGCGUAGGCGGGUGCUUAAGUCAGUUGUGAAAGUUUGCGGCUCAACCGUAAAAUUGCAGUUGAUACUGGGCGCCUUGAGUGCAGCAUAGGUAGGCGGAAUUCGUGGUGUAGCGGUGAAAUGCUUAGAUAUCACGAAGAACUCCGAUUGCGAAGGCAGCUUACUGGACUGUAACUGACGCUGAUGCUCGAAAGUGUGGGUAUCAA
This 754-nucleotide ribosomal RNA is filed under the name uncultured Bacteroidales bacterium. RNAcentral describes it as "bacterial SSU rRNA". It matches the Rfam family "Bacterial small subunit ribosomal RNA", at positions 27 to 771 of the family's 1533-position model. Lineage: Bacteria; Pseudomonadati; Bacteroidota; Bacteroidia; Bacteroidales. The record is from RNAcentral.